Non-coding RNA from Malus domestica (apple), 693 nucleotides. The record is from RefSeq and is a predicted model, not a curated record. NCBI's taxonomy places the organism in Eukaryota, Viridiplantae, Streptophyta, Magnoliopsida, Rosales, Rosaceae.
UAAUCUAAACUAAACAGUUCAGAUAAUUGAAGUUAAAGCCUCACAAGCUACCAUUUUUGUAAAUUUGAGAUUAAUCGACCAUUAUUUUCUCUGUUUCUUUUCUGGGUGUGCUUAGAGCUUCCUGUUCCUGGUGUGCAAGAUGACGUUGCGGAGAAGCUCGGUUUCGAGAAGGUCUCCGAAGAGUUCAUCGGAUACUGCAACGCCAACGCUGUGCUUUUCCGGCACAAAAAGACGGGUGCCCAAAUCAUGUCUCUGUCCAACACCUCCAAGAAAAGGGUCUUCGGCAUUACUUUCCAAACGAUACAGAACGAUUCGACUGGAGUGGCCAACAUAUUGCAGCAGAGUGUGAUAUGUGGGUCAAGAAAGUACCCAUUGAAAAGACCAUUUGACGUGUUGGUUUUAAAGAGCUUCAGUACUUAUAUGUAUUGUAAAGUCAUGGCUGAUAGGACCUAUUACUCUGGUAAUUGCACAACUACAAAGGAAUUGCAUAAUUUCGUUGAUCUACUCCCGAUGCUGUCUUCUUUCCUAAUUGUGUGGAGGACAUCCAGAUUUUCUGGCAACAGGGUUUGCGUUAUGAGCUUAACGACCCAUCCGAAGAUUUAUCUUAUCAAGGACUUGUCUUCAAUCAGAUGAAGAAAUUCCAAUUUUGGCCACUGGCGAGAGAUGUACUGAAGCUUACUGCUCGACAGGCAA